Molecule: ribosomal RNA, 484 nt
Filed under: uncultured bacterium
Lineage: Bacteria
Description: partial 16S ribosomal RNA
Rfam family: Bacterial small subunit ribosomal RNA
Source: RNAcentral
GAUGAACGCUGGCGGCGUGCUUAACUCAUGCAAGUCGAACGGUGAAGCAGGAGCUUGCUCUUGUGGAUCAGUGGCGAACGGGUGAGUAACACGUGAGCAACCUGCCCCUGACUCUGGGAUAAGCGCUGGAAACGGCGUCUAAUACUGGAUAUGUGAUGUGACCGCAUGGUCUGCAUCUGGAAAGAAUUUCGGUUGGGGAUGGGCCCGCGGCCUAUCAGCUUGUUGGUGAGGUAAUGGCUCACCAAGGCGUCGACGGGUAGCCGGCCUGAGAGGGUGACCGGCCACACUGGGACUGAGACACGGCCCAGACUCCUACGGGAGGCAGCAGUGGGGAAUAUUGCACAAUGGGCGGAAGCCUGAUGCAGCAACGCCGCGUGAGGGAUGACGGCCUUCGGGUUGUAAACCUCUUUUAGCAGGGAAGAAGCGAAAGUGACGGUACCUGCAGAAAAAGCACCGGCUAACUACGUGCCAGCCGCCGCUGUAA